GGGCGUUUAGCUCAGGGGUAGAGCGCUCGCUUCGCAUCAUAACGUGACUGCGAGAGGCCGUGGGUUCAAUUCCCACAAUGUCCA
This is a non-coding RNA of Pterulicium gracile, 84 nucleotides long. NCBI's taxonomy places the organism in Eukaryota, Fungi, Basidiomycota, Agaricomycetes, Agaricales, Pterulaceae. The record is from the annotation of a GenBank genome assembly.